This 301-nucleotide ribosomal RNA is filed under the name uncultured bacterium. RNAcentral's name for it is "partial 16S ribosomal RNA". It matches the Rfam family "Bacterial small subunit ribosomal RNA", at positions 509 to 807 of the family's 1533-position model. The record is from RNAcentral.
CAGUAGCCACGGUAAUACGGAGGGUGCAAGCGUUAAUCGGAAUUACUGGGCGUAAAGCGCACGCAGGCGGUCUGUCAAGUCGGAUGUGAAAUCCCCGGGCUCAACCUGGGAACUACAUUCGAAACUGGCAGGCUAGAGUCUUGUAGAGGGGGGUAGAAUUCCAGGUGUAGCGGUGAAAUGCGUAGAGAUCUGGAGGAAUACCGGUGGCGAAGGCGGCCCCCUGGACAAAGACUGACGCUCAGGUGCGAAAGCGUGGGGAGCAAACAGGAUUAGAUACCCCUGUAGUCCCUGUCUCUUAUAC